This 200-nucleotide long non-coding RNA is filed under the name Brachypodium distachyon (stiff brome). Its description in RNAcentral is "long non-coding RNA (BDIS_LNC000496)". The record is from RNAcentral. Lineage: Eukaryota; Viridiplantae; Streptophyta; Magnoliopsida; Poales; Poaceae.
GUCAUUAAUUCAGAUUUUAGAUAAAAUAAACAGCGAUCAAAGUAACAAAGAUAUUGUGUUAGCAUCAUCUGGAAUAAUUGCAUCACUAAGGAAUAUUAAUUCGGAAAAAUGGACUUAUCUAAAAGCCCCAUUAGAAGAGACAGAAACCUCCAGUCAAUAAGGCAAGAUUCAAGGCCUCUAAUAAUGAUGCAUAGAAUGUC